Molecule: ribosomal RNA, 325 nt
Filed under: uncultured eukaryote
Lineage: Eukaryota
Description: partial 18S ribosomal RNA
Rfam family: Eukaryotic small subunit ribosomal RNA
Source: RNAcentral
CCCUUAGAUGUCCUGGGCCGCACGCGCGCUACACUGAUGCAUUCAACGAGUUUUACCUUGGCCGAGAGGCCUGGGCAAUCUUUUAAACCUUCAUCGUGAUAGGGAUAGAUUAUUGCAAUUAUUAAUCUUGAACGAGGAAUUCCUAGUAAACGCAAAUCAUCAAUUUGCAUUGAUUACGUCCCUGCCCUUUGUACACACCGCCCGUCGCACCUACCGAUUGAAUGGUCCGGUGAAGCCUCGGGAUUGUGGCCAGUUCACUUUAUUGGGAGUUGGCUGUGGGAACUUGUCUAAACCUUAUCAUUUAGAGGAAGGUGAAGUCGUAACA